Chroicocephalus ridibundus (black-headed gull) is the source of this 292-nucleotide long non-coding RNA. RefSeq lists it as uncharacterized. The record is from RefSeq and is a predicted model, not a curated record. NCBI's taxonomy places the organism in Eukaryota, Metazoa, Chordata, Aves, Charadriiformes, Laridae. The transcript is spliced from 3 exons.
GCAGACUUUCAGAGGCAGGAUAACGUGAUUUCUGGAGUUUCAGGAAACGGUGCCCUCUGUGAACUGUUUUUCAGCGUAUUGUGGAGAAAUGUGUCUGUUGCCUCUGUGCACGUGGCAUGCGCCAGAUAACCUGUAAGCGUGUCUGAGGAAGAUUCCAGAUGUGGAGACUUGAACCCAGGACUGUGACAGCACUUUAUGCAUGUAAAAGACCCAGAGUUCAUGGUUUACCGAGCAGAAACCAGCGAUCUCUUCUUGCCUCUACCUCUGCUUCUACUUUUGAUGUGCUUUUCUG